RNAcentral lists this ribosomal RNA (684 nucleotides) under uncultured Streptococcaceae bacterium. RNAcentral describes it as "bacterial SSU rRNA". It matches the Rfam family "Bacterial small subunit ribosomal RNA", at positions 58 to 725 of the family's 1533-position model. The record is from RNAcentral. Lineage: Bacteria; Bacillati; Bacillota; Bacilli; Lactobacillales; Streptococcaceae.
CAAGUAGAACGCUGAGAACUGGUGCUUGCACCGGUUCAAGGAGUUGCGAACGGGUGAGUAACGCGUAGGUAACCUACCUCAUAGCGGGGGAUAACUAUUGGAAACGAUAGCUAAUACCGCAUAAGAGAGACUAACGCAUGUUAGUAAUUUAAAAGGGGCAAUUGCUCCACUAUGAGAUGGACCUGCGUUGUAUUAGCUAGUUGGUGAGGUAAAGGCUCACCAAAGCGACGAUACAUAGCCGACCUGAGAGGGUGAUCGGCCACACUGGGACUGAGACACGGCCCAGACUCCUACGGGAGGCAGCAGUAGGGAAUCUUCGGCAAUGGGGGCAACCCUGACCGAGCAACGCCGCGUGAGUGAAGAACGUUUUCGGAUCGUAAAGCUCUGUUGUUAGAGAAGAAUGAUGGUGGGAGUGGAAAAUCCACCAAGUGACGGUAACUAACCAGAAAGGGACGGCUAACUACGUGCCAGCAGCCGCGGUAAUACGUAGGUCCCGAGCGUUGUCCGGAUUUAUUGGGCGUAAAGCGAGCGCAGGCGGUUUUUUAAGUCUGAAGUUAAAGGCAUUGGCUCAACCAAUGUACGCUUUGGAAACUGGAGUACUUGAGUGCAGAAGAGGAAAGUGGAAUUCCAUGUGUAGCGGUGAAAUGCGCAGAGAUAUGGAGGUACACCAGUGGCGAAGGCGAC